RNAcentral lists this ribosomal RNA (82 nucleotides) under Pseudomonas sp. 8 R 14. The record is from RNAcentral. Lineage: Bacteria; Pseudomonadati; Pseudomonadota; Gammaproteobacteria; Pseudomonadales; Pseudomonadaceae.
UGACGACCAUAGAGCAUUGGAACCACCUGAUCCCAUCCCGAACUCAGCAGUGAAACGAUGCAUCGCCGAUGGUAGUGUGGGG